UGUGGGGCGACGUGUGCGAGCGGGAGCGGCCGGUGGCCGCGGCCCUCCCCGCCCGGCCGGGGUGAUGUCGUUAUGCGGCGGCUCCGGCCCCGCGGUUGCCUCUCGGCUGCGGCCUCGCGCGGCGCGGAUGGCGCGGCGGCCGGAGCUGCUGUGCGGCGCGGCCAUCCUGCUGGGCUGCGCCUUCCUCGUCGCCCUCAAAGUCACCUGCAGGGUGCUGUUACCUAAAGUACAAGUAUUAAAAGAGGAUGAGGCCAGGGAAGAAAUCCAAAGAAAUCAGUCUUCGUGCCGAGCAAAAGAUGUAACAAUGCCAGCGAAGCUUCCAGUGAAUUUUUUCUCCACAAGAUCUCCAGUGAUUGAUCUUUUUCGGGGACAAUUAGACUAUGCAGAUCACCUCCGUCAGGAUUCAGAAAUUGUGCUGUAUUUCUUCUAUGCACCAUGGUGUGGCCAGUCCAUUGCAGCAAGAGAAGAAAUAGAACAUGUGGCCGGCAGAUUGUCAGACCAGGUGCUGUUUGUGGCUGUAAAUUGCUGGUGGAACCAAGGGAAAUGCAGGAAGCAGAAGCAUUUCUUCUAUUUUCCUGUGAUACACCUAUACCAUAGGAGUUUUGGACCAAUUGAAUACAAAGGCCCUAUGAGUGCUGUUUAUAUUGAAAAGUUUGUUCGCCGGGUGAUGACACCACUACUCUACAUCUCGUCUCGAUCAAAAUUACUAGAUUUCCUCUCAAAUUAUGAGCCUGGAGUUCUAGGAUAUUUUGAGUUCAAUGCUUCACCUCAACCACCUGGUUAUUUAACGUUCUUCACUUCAGCAUUACAUUCAUUAAAGAAAGAUUACCUUGGAACAAUUCGCUUUGGAGUGAUCACAGAUAAACGUAUUGCAGAGGAGAUCUCACUGGUGCAGUCAGGCAGCGUCUAUUUGCACAGACAUGUCAACACAUCUCUUAUCUAUCCAAAUGACAUCAUGAACUAUACUGCUGAGAACAUUUGCAAGUGGGCUCUGGAAAAUCGAGAGAUGCUCAUACGCUGGCUGAGACCACAUGGUGGAAAAAGCCUUCUUCUAAACAAUGAGCUGAAGAAAGGACCAGCACUCCUCAUAUUUAUACCUUACAAUCCUUUAGCCGAAAUUCAUCCUCUUUUAGAUGAAAUUACCAAAGUGGCCUUGGAAUACCACAACUGUAAUAAAAGCCAGGCAGCUGAGCCAGAUCUUCAACACUUAGGAGACACUGAUUCACCAGCUUUUGAUUCCUCUGUACCAGAUGCACAUACAAAAUCACCAGAAGCGUUUUCAAUAACCAAGUACCCGUGCUGUAACACGGUGGUGCUUCCCCAGUGGCAUUCAAUAUCUAGAACUCACAAUGUCUGUGAGCUUUGCAUUAACCAGACACUUGGUGUCAAACCAAAUAAAGUCCAUGUGCCACACUGUAACUUUUUAGAGAUAGAAGCAGCUUUGGACUCUUUCUACCUCCAGGAACGUACCUUUUUUCAAGUUCUAUCAAAUACCAUAGAAUGCAGCAAUUUCUUAAGUUUCUAUAGUCCCUUUAGCUACUACACUGCAUGUUGCAGGACAGUAAACAGGCGUUUUUUAGGAUUCAUCAGUUCUGAGAAGACCAUCUUUCAGACCCCCAGAGUAGCAUUUUCUUCCCAUGGGAAGAAAGAUAACACCCAACAUUCUAUUCCUCACAUUGAGGAUAGGAAUUGUUUUAUUCCUGACCUUCAUAUUAGUGGCACUAACAUUACUGGUCUGAGCUGCAGGACCAACAAAACCUUGAAUCUCUAUUUAUUGGAUUCAAAUCUUUUUUGGAUAUAUGCAGAGAGACUUGGAGCAUCAAGAUCUACUCAUCUUAAGGAAUUUGCUGCAAUUGUUGACCUGAAGGAAGAAGUGCACUAUGUCCUGGAUCAGAACCAGUCGCUUGUUGGAUCUACCCUUGAGAACUUCAUAAAAAAUUUCAGUAUUCUCUACAGUCCCUUGAAAAGGCAUCUUGUUGAUGACCCUUCCAUCCAUUUUCACGAGCAUCGUGUAAUCACUGAACUGACUGCUAAUACCUUUCAUGAUACUGUUUUUUUGAGUGAGAAGAAUGUCUUGCUGCUCUAUUAUGCACAGUGGUGUGGAUUCUGUGCUUCUCUUAAUCACAUCUUUAUUCAGCUUGCUCGUCUUUUGCCUCCAGAUAAUUUCACUGUGGCAAGAAUUGACAUCACCCGCAAUGACCUUCCAUGGGAAUUUAUGACAGACCGUCUCCCAACUAUUUUAUUUUUUCCUCAUCAGAGGAAGGAACAAAGUGUGAAGUUCCCUGAAGACUUUUCAGUUAACCUUCCAAAUCUCCUUAAAUUUAUUUUGCAUCACUCAAGUCUCUCUUCAUCAGAGUCCUGUACCAAAGAAUGCCUACAUAAAGAGAGAGCUCUACAGCAAGGACACAUCUCCCACUUAGAGAGAGAAAUUCAGAAGUUAAGGUCAGAAAUCAGUGCCCUUCAUCAGGCCCAUGACCAGCUUGAAGCACAGCUUUUUGAAGCUAGGAGAGAGGAACAUAGACUACAGCAGCAAAAACACACACUGGAAAAGCAGCACAAGACUCUGCAGCUCCACAGUGAGCAGUUACAGGCCACAUACGAGCAGAAGAACCGGGAAUUAUUAGAAAUGGCUGAAAAGCUUCAAGAAUUGGCUGAUGCAUCAGAAAACCUCCUAAAAGAAAAUACUUUACUGAGAAUCCUGGUGGCAUCAAGGGAAGGAAAGCUACAGAGCAAAGAUGAAAUGAAAGACUCCCUUCAGUCAGAGCAAACACUUUCUGAAGAUAACGAUGCAUCAGUUUCAACAGCUACUGCCACAUCAGAGGAAAAAAGGAUUGAUAAUAUUGAUACCACAGAGCACAGUAGUGGCAACAGGACAGAAUGAUUGCUUACACAAAGUCAAAUGAUACAGUAUUGGCUCUACCAAGACAGAAACUCAUGGAAGACUUCAGUAGAGACCAGAGCCAGUCCAGCCUAGGAACACAUCUUGACUGUCCUGCUGCAAGCAUCAGGUCAUACACUGGGCUCUUGUCAUUCCUGUUUCUUUUGGGAUCCUGAGGAGUACUGCUGGACCAGGAAGUGCACUGUUUGAGAAGGCCGUCACAGAAAGAGGACCCAAUACCGUGUCACCUACUUGCUCAUCAAGGCGAGUCUUAGAAGUUGUUCCGAGUUCUUCAGGCCUAUUCAAAAGCAACAUCUGGUGACAGAUGUCUACACCUGCCUUUGUGUCAGGAAGAGCACGAGACAGCACGGUACACUGCGACUGCUCAGAGGAAGGCACAGGAUGUAUUUUGAUCAACUCACGUUGCUGUUACAUCCCAGGACUGUCAACAUACUGGUCAGCUGAGACUUUUCCUGAAGCACGUACCCAACUCCUCGCACCAAGCUUGCGGGGCUGGGCGAGCGGGGACGAGCACCCCCAGCCCAGAGGAGCCGGCCCGGCCCGCGCCCUCCCGAGCUGCCGCCGAGCCGAGGCAUCGCCUUGUGACUGCAGCGCGGCGGCCGCGGCCGCGCCGGGAGAAGGGGCCCGAGCCCCCGGAGGACGGGGCACAGCCCCAAACACCCCUCGGGGCCGGCGAGAGGCCUGCGGGGCGACCAGCCCCUCGGGAGCGAGGCGGGGCCGAGGCGGAGCGCGGAUCCUCCCGCCGGGCCGCGCAGACACAAAGAGCGGCUCCGCCGCGGCGGCGCCGGGAAGGGGCGGCCCCGGCCCGGGGCGGCAGGGCAGCAGGGGCGGCCCCUUCGCUUCUCCUGGUGUCCCUGCCGCCCCCCAGGGCCCU
RNA transcript from Apus apus (common swift), 3773 nucleotides. It is a transcript of the gene named thioredoxin domain containing 11, with no coding region annotated. The transcript is spliced from 16 exons. NCBI's taxonomy places the organism in Eukaryota, Metazoa, Chordata, Aves, Apodiformes, Apodidae. The record is from RefSeq and is a predicted model, not a curated record.